RNAcentral lists this small nucleolar RNA (227 nucleotides) under Basidiobolus meristosporus CBS 931.73. Its description in RNAcentral is "Small nucleolar RNA U3". It matches the Rfam family "Small nucleolar RNA U3". Rfam says of the family: Small nucleolar RNAs (snoRNAs) are involved in the processing and modification of rRNA in the nucleolus. The record is from Rfam by way of RNAcentral. Lineage: Eukaryota; Fungi; Basidiobolomycota; Basidiobolomycetes; Basidiobolales; Basidiobolaceae.
ACGACUGUACUUUACAGGAUUAUGUAUAUAGUACAUUCCCAGUCUUUGUUUCCCAACCAAAGACACUAAUACCAAGCUGGUAGAUGACAUGUAGUGCGCUGUCCGUAAAGGGAAGUGUGAACAGUGGCCGAUCGGUCUUUCGGGACCUUAGGACCUGUUCAGUUGAUGAACUUGCCGGUUGAUUAUUCCAACAGCCUGGCGAGGACGGUCUGCACAUUCUGACAGCU